Molecule: ribosomal RNA, 253 nt
Filed under: uncultured bacterium
Lineage: Bacteria
Description: partial 16S ribosomal RNA
Rfam family: Bacterial small subunit ribosomal RNA
Source: RNAcentral
UACGUAGGGGGCAAGCGUUGUCCGGAUUUAUUGGGCGUAAAGAGCUCGUAGGCGGUUUGUCGCGUCGUCUGUGAAAACCCACGGCUCAACUGUGGGCUUGCAGUCGAUACGGGCAGGCUAGAGUUCGGUAGGGGAGACUGGAAUUCCUGGUGUAGCGGUGAAAUGCGCAGAUAUCAGGAGGAACACCGGUGGCGAAGGCGGGUCUCUGGGCCGAUACUGACGCUGAGGAGCGAAAGCGUGGGGAGCGAACAGG